GCCGCAGCUUAACAGCGGUGCCGACAGCAAGUGCAUCUCGUCGCCUUUGGGGGGCUGGGUGGUGCCCCUCAGAGUGAAUUUGGAGGUUCUACACGG
This 96-nucleotide small nucleolar RNA is filed under the name Sorex araneus (European shrew). Its description in RNAcentral is "Small nucleolar RNA SNORA68 (ENSSARG00000019058.1)". It matches the Rfam family "Small nucleolar RNA SNORA68", at positions 36 to 133 of the family's 133-position model. Rfam says of the family: U68 is a member of the H/ACA class of small nucleolar RNAs (snoRNAs) which act as guides in the the modification of uridines to pseudouridines. The record is from RNAcentral. Lineage: Eukaryota; Metazoa; Chordata; Mammalia; Eulipotyphla; Soricidae.